RNAcentral lists this ribosomal RNA (392 nucleotides) under uncultured bacterium. RNAcentral describes it as "partial 16S ribosomal RNA". It matches the Rfam family "Bacterial small subunit ribosomal RNA", at positions 523 to 918 of the family's 1533-position model. The record is from RNAcentral.
AUACGGAGGAUCCGAGCGUUAUCCGGAUUUAUUGGGUUUAAAGGGUGCGCAGGCGGCCAUUUAAGUCAGCGGUUAAAUCGUGGGGCUCAACCCCAUUCUGCCGUUGAUACUGGGUGGCUUGAUUGCGGCCGAGGUUGGCGGAAUUCGUUGUGUAGCGGUGAAAUGCAUAGAUAUGACGAAGAACACCGAUUGCGUAGGCAGCUGACCAGACCGCAAAUGACUCUCAUGCACGAAAGUGCGGGGAUCGAACAUGAUGAGAUACCCUGGUAGUCCGCACAGUAAACGAUGAAUACUUGUUUUCGGCGAUAUAAUGUCGGAGGCAAAGCGAAAGCGAUAAGUAUUCCCCCUGGGGAGUACGCCGGCAACGGUGAAACUCGAAGGAAUUGACGGGU